Molecule: ribosomal RNA, 364 nt
Filed under: uncultured bacterium
Lineage: Bacteria
Description: bacterial SSU rRNA
Rfam family: Bacterial small subunit ribosomal RNA
Source: RNAcentral
AACGAACGCUGGCGGCAGGCCUAACACAUGCAAGUCGAACGCCGUAGCAAUACGGAGUGGCAGACGGGUGAGUAACACGUGGGAACGUACCCUUCGGUUCGGAAUAACUCAGGGAAACUUGAGCUAAUACCGGAUACGUCCGAGAGGAGAAAGAUUUAUCGCCGAGGGAUCGGCCCGCGUCUGAUUAGCUUGUUGGUGAGGUAACGGCCCACCAAGGCGGUGACGGGUAGCUGGUCUGAGAGGAUGGCCAGCCACAUUGGGACUGAGAGACGGCCCAGACUCCUACGGGAGGCAGCAGUGGGGAAUCUUGCGCAAUGGCCUAACGGCUGACGCAGCGACGCCGCGUGUGGGAGGACGCCUCGGU